GUAGUAGUAGUAGUAGUAGUAGUGGGAUUAGUUAUUAGUCCAUAAGUACCUGUAUAAUGUAGGUAUUUUCUAGGGAGUUUUGUUAUUUGACGAUUGAAAAUUAAUAAAUUUGUGGGCUUUGUUUCUUCUUCGAGCGUAUUCUGUUGAUUAUGCAUCACAUCUUCGAUUACCAAUUUCAUUUUUGAGCUUGUUUGAAUCUGUGAAAAGGCACAUGGAACAGAGGAUGACUUUGACACUUGGAAUUUAUAGAAACUUGUGGUUGGAAGCUUCCUUCAUAUAUUUUGUCCAUUUUUAAUAAUUUUGAGCGUUCAUUUAUUUUUAACUCAAAAAAGAGAAAAGGAAAAAAGUUGCUGCUGGUUUGAAAUAUGAAUAAUAGUUAUAUCAUAAAAUAAUGGGUUAGUAUGUGCACUUUUUCCAGCGUUAUUUGUGAUUGAUUAUAAUUUCCAAAUGGAAGCAAUUAUCCUAGAAGCAUCAACCAGAUCGCCUUCUUGUGGUCUUGUUUCUUCAAGUUAAAUAUCGUGUGCAAUUUUCUCAGCCCUGUUUUUGUUUACAAGCCAUGCUAGCCUACUGUGAACAUCUGUAAUAUCUCAAGUUCUCCAACAUGAAAUAGUCCUCUUAUCUUCACCGUCUACAAGUAUUCUGCCCUGCUGGUGGGAACCUUCAUUUGAGCAUGAUAAUUAAAUGCAGAACGACAUGAACAACUUUGUAUUGAUUUUUAUUCUGGUUUGCUAGAGUGCAUCUCAUAUGAUAUUUGAAAAACUACAAUUCAUGGGUGUGUUUCAUACAUAGAUUUUUAUCAUUACAUUACUCGACUUCUAGUUAAUUGGAAGGGUCCAUCUGGGCUGUGCAGUUCCAUACACACCCGGUUCUAAAUGAAAGAAGUUACUAGUCUCAAACAUCGAUUUUCAUUUAACAUUAUAGUCAUUUCAGUUAACAUUUGCUGGAGGGAGCAGCCAUUCAUUCUUAUAUAGAGUUGUAAAUGUUAUCCAAAUUCCCUGAAAAAAUUUAUGCCUGGAGUUAGGCCUCUAAGAUGAUAUUUGCUGUAAUCUUUCAGAUGAACUCUCUUAAUUCCCUUA
RNAcentral lists this unclassified non-coding RNA (1076 nucleotides) under Hevea brasiliensis (rubber tree). The record is from RNAcentral. Lineage: Eukaryota; Viridiplantae; Streptophyta; Magnoliopsida; Malpighiales; Euphorbiaceae.